RNAcentral lists this signal recognition particle RNA (96 nucleotides) under Gammaproteobacteria bacterium. RNAcentral's name for it is "signal recognition particle sRNA small type". It matches the Rfam family "Bacterial small signal recognition particle RNA". From Rfam's summary of the family: The signal recognition particle (SRP) is a universally conserved ribonucleoprotein involved in the co-translational targeting of proteins to membranes. Archaeal SRP consists of a 7S RNA and homologues of the eukaryotic SRP19 and SRP54 proteins. The record is from RNAcentral. Lineage: Bacteria; Pseudomonadati; Pseudomonadota; Gammaproteobacteria.
UCAGCAUCUCUUUGCGGCAAAAAGCUGUGAACCCCGCCAGGCCCGGAAGGGAGCAACGGUAGCAGCCACCUUGGGUGCUUUGGGACAAGCUGAUGC